ACUAAGGUUCGACUCGAGCGAAGCGAGAGAACGUUGCCGCUGGCAAUGGCCCGAAGGCGAGGCGCUUUAGCGCCGAGUAAUCCUUCCCCCACCACCA
This 97-nucleotide small RNA is filed under the name Klebsiella pneumoniae. RNAcentral's name for it is "partial RtT sRNA". It matches the Rfam family "RtT RNA", at positions 35 to 130 of the family's 130-position model. Rfam says of the family: This family represents a bacterial cis-regulatory element known as RtT RNA. The exact function of RtT is unknown although it is thought that it may be involved in changing the cellular response in relation to amino acid starvation. Lineage: Bacteria; Pseudomonadati; Pseudomonadota; Gammaproteobacteria; Enterobacterales; Enterobacteriaceae. The record is from RNAcentral.